CCUACGGGCGGCAGCAGUGAGGAAUAUUGGUCAAUGGGCGGGAGCCGGAACCAGCCAAGCCGCGUGAGGGAAGAAGGUACAGCGUAUCGUAAACCUCUUUUGUCAGGGAACAAAGGCGGGGACUAGUCCCCGGAUGAGGGUACCUGAAGAAAAAGCAUCGGCUAACUCCGUGCCGGCAGCCGCGGUAAUACGGAGGAUGCGAGCGUUAUCCGGAUUUAUUGGGUUUAAAGGGUGCGUAGGCGGAAUGUCAAGUCAGCGGUAAAAAUUCGGGGCUCAACCCCGUCGUGCCGUUGAAACUGGUGUUCUUGAGUGGGCGAGAAGUAUGCGGAAUGCGUGGUGUAGCGGUGAAAUGCGUAGAUAUCACGAAGAACUCCGAUUGCGACGGCAGUUCACUGGACUGCAACUGACACUGAGGCUCGAAAGUGUGGGUCUCAAACAGGCUUCGAUCCCCAGUAGUC
Molecule: ribosomal RNA, 458 nt
Filed under: uncultured bacterium
Lineage: Bacteria
Description: partial 16S ribosomal RNA
Rfam family: Bacterial small subunit ribosomal RNA
Source: RNAcentral